Molecule: non-coding RNA, 278 nt
Organism: Pelobates cultripes (western spadefoot toad)
Lineage: Eukaryota; Metazoa; Chordata; Amphibia; Anura; Pelobatidae
Source: the annotation of a GenBank genome assembly
AAAAGAAAGUACACCCUCUUUGAAUUCUAUGGUUUUAUAAUAUAAUCAUAUAUAAAUUAUAUGUUUGGUAAGAGUCUCUGUGGCUGACUCUAAUUUUCAGAAUUACUUUUACAGAAGUACUAGUUCCUCUCUCCAUCAACUCCUCCUACGCAGACCCACAGUUAAGCUUAUAUCCUAAUAGGGGAAAAGAGAUGUCACUCCAAGACCACAACUGAUAUAUUUUGACCCUGCGUAAUUAAGCAUUGUAUACUUUAGGCAUCUAAUCAACUUAAAGGACC